Molecule: ribosomal RNA, 465 nt
Filed under: uncultured bacterium
Lineage: Bacteria
Description: partial 16S ribosomal RNA
Rfam family: Bacterial small subunit ribosomal RNA
Source: RNAcentral
GACGAACGCUGGCGGCGUGCUUAACACAUGCAAGUCGAGCGAGGCCCCUCCUUCGGGAGGGUGUCCUAGCGGCGAACGGGUGAGUAACACGUGGGCAACCUGCCCUCAGCUCUGGGAUAACUCCGGGAAACCGGGGCUAAUACCGGAUACGACCUCCACGGGCAUCUGCGGAGGUGGAAAGUUUUUCGGCUGAGGAUGGGCCCGCGGCCUAUCAGCUAGUUGGUGGGGUAGUGGCCCACCAAGGCGACGACGGGUAGCCGGCCUGAGAGGGCGACCGGCCACACUGGGACUGAGACACGGCCCAGACUCCUACGGGAGGCAGCGGUGGGGAAGGUGGCGCAAUGGGCGGAAGCCUGACGCAGCGACGCCGCGUGGGGGAAGAAGGCCUUCGGGUUGUAAACCUCGUUCAGCAGGGCCGAAGCGAAAGUGACGGUACCUGCAGAAGAAGCACCGGCCAACUACGUG